ACACCAUGGGGGGGGGGGCGGGUCCCCCCCCCUCCCCAUGCCCAUACCUUCAAAGAGAAUUGCCCCCCCCGCCGCCUGCCGGUUCUAACGGCAAUGCUUCUAAGCGUGGAUUUUCUAAUGAUUCGGGAUUUUCCGGGUCAUCUGGGACACGGAGAAGUGGCAAUUUUAGUAACGCGUCGUCUUGGGGACGAGUCGGGAAUAAUACGAUUUUGAGGAAGACUGAGAAAGUGUGUAAUUAUUGGGUUCAAGGUAAAUGUAG
Molecule: unclassified non-coding RNA, 259 nt
Filed under: Hevea brasiliensis (rubber tree)
Lineage: Eukaryota; Viridiplantae; Streptophyta; Magnoliopsida; Malpighiales; Euphorbiaceae
Source: RNAcentral